RNAcentral lists this ribosomal RNA (372 nucleotides) under uncultured bacterium. Its description in RNAcentral is "partial 16S ribosomal RNA". It matches the Rfam family "Bacterial small subunit ribosomal RNA", at positions 523 to 898 of the family's 1533-position model. The record is from RNAcentral.
AUACGGAGGAUCCGAGCGUUAUCCGGAUUUAUUGGGUUUAAAGGGUGCGCAGGCGGCCAUUUAAGUCAGCGGUUAAAUCGUGGGGCUCAACCCCAUUCUGCCGUUGAUACUGGGUGGCUUGAUUGCGGUCGAGGUUGGCGGAAUUCGUUGUGUAGCGGUGAAAUGCAUAGAUAUGACGAAGAACACCGAUUGCGUAGGCAGCUGACCAGAUCGCAAAUGACGCUCAUGCACGAAAGUGCGGGGAUCGAACAGGAUUAGAUACCCUGGUAAUCCGCACAGUAAACGAUGAAUACUUGUUUUCGGCGAUAUAAUGUCGGAGGCAAAGCGAAAGCGAUAAGUAUUCCCCCUGGGGAGUACGCCGGCAACGGUGAA